RNAcentral lists this ribosomal RNA (253 nucleotides) under uncultured prokaryote. RNAcentral's name for it is "partial 16S ribosomal RNA". It matches the Rfam family "Bacterial small subunit ribosomal RNA", at positions 524 to 776 of the family's 1533-position model. The record is from RNAcentral.
UACGGAGGGUGCGAGCGUUAAUCGGAAUGACUGGGCGUAAAGGGCACGUAGGCGGUUAAUUAAGUCAGAUGUGAAAUCCCCGGGCUCAACCUGGGAAUGGCAUUUGAAACUGGUUAGCUAGAGUCUCGUAGAGGGGGGUAGAAUUCCAGGUGUAGCGGUGAAAUGCGUAGAGAUCUGGAGGAAUACCGGUGGCGAAGGCGGUCUGCUGGGCAGUUUCUGACACUGAUGCGCGACAGCGUGGGGAGCAAACAGG